AACGAACGCUGGCGGCGUGCUUAAUACAUGCAAGUCGAGCGAGAAAAGGGGGGCAACUCCCUGAGUAAAGCGGCGCACGGGUGAGUAACACGUAGGUAACCUACCUCCGAGCCCGGAAUAACCUACCGAAAGGUUGGCUAAUACCGGAUAUGACCACGGGAGUCUCGGCUCCUGCGGUGAAAGAUGGCCUCUGCUUGCAAGCUAUCACUCGAAGAGGGGCCUGCGCGCCACUAGCUAGUUGGCGGGGUAAUGGCCCACCAAGGCUUUGAUGGCUAGCUGGUCUGAGAGGAUGGCCAGCCACACUGGGACUGAAACACGGCCCAGACUCCUACGGGAGGCAGCAGUAGGGAAUAUUGCGCAAUGGGCGAAAGCCUGACGCAGCGACGCCGCGUGGGUGAUGAAGGCC
Molecule: ribosomal RNA, 406 nt
Filed under: uncultured bacterium
Lineage: Bacteria
Description: bacterial SSU rRNA
Rfam family: Bacterial small subunit ribosomal RNA
Source: RNAcentral